GUGGGGAAUCUUCCGCAAUGGGCGAAAGCCUGACGGAGCAACGCCGCGUGAGUGAAGAAGGUCUUCGGAUCGUAAAGCUCUGUUGUCGGGGACGAAGGGGCAGAUCAGGAAAUGGGUCUGCUUAGACGGUACCUGACGAGGAAGCCACGGCUAACUACGUGCCAGCAGCCGCGGUAAUACGUAGGCGGCAAGCGUUGUCCGGAAUCAUUGGGCGUAAAGGGAGCGCAGGUGGGACGGUAAGUCUUUCUUAAAAGUGCGGGGCUCACCCCCGUGAGGGGAAAGAAACUAUCGUUCUUGAGUGCAGGAGAGGAAAGCGGAAUUCCUAGUGUAGCGGUGAAAUGCGUAGAUAUUAGGAAGAACACCAGUGGCGAAGGCGGCUUUCUGGACUGUAACUGACACUGAGGCUCGAAAGCCAGGGGAGCGAACGGG
RNAcentral lists this ribosomal RNA (429 nucleotides) under uncultured rumen bacterium. Its description in RNAcentral is "bacterial SSU rRNA". It matches the Rfam family "Bacterial small subunit ribosomal RNA", at positions 354 to 776 of the family's 1533-position model. The record is from RNAcentral.